AAUUUUGAUUAGAUAAAUAUCAGUAAUAUAAAUAUUCAUGCAAACACGAAUUUUUAAUACAACAAAGGAUUGUUAUUGAUAGUAACGUAGGUAAUAACAGAUAAAAUAUACGGAUAGAAUGUAAAAAAAAAGAAAAAAUAUUAUUUUAACUUAGUGGCCAAUUUAAGUGAAUGGUAGAUAUAGGUCUCUUGCCGCCCCCCUUUAGGCCUGCAGCGCCCAUAAGGGGGCGUUAUCGGCCACUUUGGAAAAGGCUGGAGUAAACCAAUCUGAUACAUGGCACUGCAACCGCAACAUAGCUGCCACAAACAGCAGCGACGGUGAUAAAGCGACGAUAACUCAAUGGCAACUUAACCUUGACCUCUGAUAGACUCCAUUAUACUCUAACAUAAAUAUACCAACAUCCAAUAUACCCUAUGACGUCGACCUCUACGCGAUUCACCCUAGAAACUAUCGUGGUUAAUUUUUGUAGAGUUCGUGACGAUGGGCUAAUUGAUCUGCUUUCAUCUUCAACUAAUAUCUUUUAAAAUUGCCUUGUUAACGUAUACUAAUAGUGCAGAGUCGGUGACAACUGUAUUUUAAUCCAUUAAAAAAAUGAAGACAACACUUAAUACCAAAACGAUCCAUCAUACAUUCAUUAGCAUAAAGUUUUUUUUUUUUUUUUUAUUGAACCUGAUUCUACUCAUCUACGGUUUUAGAAGAAAACUAAAGAUAUAAAAAAUGUGGAAACGCUGCACUCGUUACGGGGCCCUUUAGGUCGGGUACGGAACAUGAAAAUUGUUUUGACUGAUUGUUAGUUUAAAAUUAGAUUAUUUUAUAAUUUUAUUUUAAAUUCACAAAUUAACAUUUUUAGAUUAUUUAUUGUGUAUAUAAUUUUUAGUACAUGUUCAUACUGUUGGUUUUAUGUUUUCAAUAACAAUAAAUUAUAUAUAUGUAUAUAAAAAAAAACAUUUUAGAUACCCAAAAUUGCUGUAAAAUUAACAGUAAGUCACGGUUGCCGACUUGUGUUCCUCGCUGAACUUACAUAAACCAAAUGCAUAACGCGAUAGGUCUAAAAAUAAAAUAAUAAACAACAGUAAAGUUAAAAAACUGUACGGGCUUUCAAUUAACACACUCCAUAGACAAAUCAUUCAUUGUAACGUUUUGGAUUCCUGCCAUUGGAUCGGUCAAUGACCGUAAAAAGUUGAAAUGUAGCCGAGGCAUAGUCAUUACAUAAAAUUAUAUUGACGGAAUUUUGUUUUUUGACUUUAAAGACAUAAGCCUUUAAAGUCGAAGAUAUGACAAAAAACAACUAGUUCGUAAUUUAGUUGCGUUCAUUGUACGAGUUGAAUAAAAAAUUUAACUGUAAUAAUACCCUAUAACGAAUAGAUUCAAUGUCAAGAACAACAUCGUUCUAUAAAUUAUACAGCAUAGAAAAGGAAGGACUCAAGAUGAAAUAAUGUUAUCAAAUAUUCUUUUAUAUUCCGAUCAAUAAGAGAUCUUAUGAAAAUAGGAAGGUAAUAAUGUUAUCUCAAAGUUUAAGAAGCUAUCAUUUGUAAUGUAGGCUAGUGUUAUUUUAAAAUCACGUCGAUAAAUAGCAUAUUAAUUCUUAUCCAGAGUUCUUAUCAUGCAAUAGGUUAAUUAUCUGAAUUGCAACUAUAAAAUACUAUUAAAACCACACGAUUUCACUUGCGUAUUUUAAUAACAUAAAUAAAUAUAUAAACAUUAUAAGAAAGAAAAAUAAACUCACGAUUCUCUGGAAACGGUGUGAAAAAAUAAAAUGGUGAAGAAUUCCAGUUUGCUUCGCAAAAAAAAAACAUCUACUUCAAUCAAUCGUGUCGAAACAGUAAUGAACGCUGAGAUACAACUAUUAAUUACAAAUGUGGUUCAUAAUUGGCAAAAAUAUCGCAUAAAAUAAUCACAAAAAAAAGAAUUAGACUAAUUGAGAUCCUCUUUUUCGAAUUCAUUUGAAAAUCAAUCAAACCACUUAUUAACACUAAAAAUAUCUCACUAACACUUCUGAAAAGGAGGAUAUGAGCCAUACACGCCUACGUGGCAAACAUUACAAUGAAUUGUACAAAAGAACCGAGGUACUCAAUUCGAACCCUUUAGUAAUAGAGAAUAUAUGUACCUACAUAUUGAAUGAGUGUUUGCAAAGUGCAUAUGUAAUGUUAGGGUUCGCACAAAAUUUAUUUAAUUACCAUUUUCUUAGUAAUUUACAAAUAAGUUGCAAAUUCAAAUUUCCUUACAAAUUUUCCUUACCUAAAAAUUCCUUACAAAUUCUCCUUCAAAAAUAGAAUUAGGAUACUCUUGUAUCUUAAUUCAUCUGAGCAAAAUUUUAGAAGUCAACGUAGACAUAAUUCACUGACCAAAGCACAUUGUUCUGUGGCGAAAUAAACGAGAUUCAAUUUUAGUAAGUUUACAAAUUGAUACUAGCCAUUUAUGUUGAUAACCCUAAUAAAACAAAAUGCUCAACUAGUACAUAUUACAAUACGCAAAUGGAAGAGCAUUACCUAGUUAAACAGAGAAAUGGUAAUUCAUAUAAGCCGUUUUAGAAAUUGUCUGAAAGUGUGUGUAAAUUGCGAAUUGCACAAAACCUUGUCUAUUGUAUGUAAAUUUUUUCCUUAUAAUUUGAAAAGGGAAAAAUUCUAAACUUUAGUGGUUCUUAUAAAUAUACCUAUUACCUAAUAUAUAUUUUCACCGUUAAGAGUCCAUUUUAAAAAAUUUUUACUGAAUGAAUGAAAAAUAGAUUCCGUUAAAUCCAUAUUUAAAUAAUGUAUCGUGGACAGUUCGCCAUAAUAUCUGACCAUUUUUACGAGAAACUUCACACAAACAGGAGCUUGUGUUAAAAUUUCUGAAAGCAAAUUCUAUAAUACCUUAGUUUUGGCUGCACUACGUAGAUAUUUAUUUAAAUCAUACCAGAGGUAGACUUUGUACAAAAGUCGUUUGCGUGGGUACCUCUGUCCCAUUCGUGUUUCAACCGUAAAGCAGUUGUUUGCAUGGCUGUUUCGGUUUGAAGGGUGGGAUAUAGCGUGAAUUUAUAGGGUACACAGGAAUAACACCCGAAUCCUCAAGAAUGGCAACGUAUCGGGAGUAUCAUAGACCAAACAGUAUACUCUGUUAUGUCCAUGGUACUGCUCAUGUCUAUAGGCGCCGGUUACCACUUUCCAUCAGGUGGGCCGUCAGCUUGAUUGCCAUUCUAAAUUGUAUAAAAAAAAUGUAAACAAAUAUAAUAAAUAAUCUUUAAAUAAACAAUUAUGUCAUUUUUCACGAUUCUAUAGCAGCAUUCUAUAUCAUCAUAUCAGCCGUUAACUGAUAGGGGUUUGCCAAUAAUUGCAGGGUUUGGAAACCAGGUUGGUUACCGCAGUUAGGCUUUUAGAGAUGUUUUAAAAGGGACGCAUCUUAUGACUUCAACAGAAAGGAAGAAUUCGGCAAUUACUUUCAGAUUUAUUAGGUUGCUUGACUAUACAAAUAAUAUAACAUAGCUUUUACAUGUAGGUACAUACAUUAUAGUGAGAAUAAGUUGCGCAAGAUUAACUAAAGAUAUCACGAAUUUAAAUACGCAUAUUUGUAAUGUAAAUUUAUGUGGCUCCGGACCAUUUCUUUGAAUAUAACAUUCUAAUUCUUAUUAUUCAGUCUAUGGGGGAGGUCUAUGUUCAACAGUGUUCAAUUUACGGCUGAUUUAAUAAUGAUGAUUUGCAAUUUAACGUUGUCAUACGAUGAGUAUUAUUACUCAAACAGGUGUAAAAAAUGUUACAAUUAUACGACCUGCAAUGACUUCACACAAGUGAAUACGUAUAUCGCUCACUAUAAUGUAGCUUUUUAUAUGUAACAAAAGUUUUAAAAUUGAUAAAGUAUUUUUUUAUUUAUCCAUUGCAACAAAACAAAAUCUUUGCAUUUUGAUGGCAAUCUGUGGUGACGUUGCUCUUAAAAUAGAUGUUUCGUUAUGUUAAAACUUACAUACAGAUACAAAGCCUUAACCUUUUAACCGACCUAGUCGCGUUUUUCAGUAGAGAAUUGUUUUUGUUUCUACAACUUCUUAUUACACAAUCAGACAAAAUAUAAAACCAAAUAUUUGACAUAUUUUAAAAUUAGGUAAUACAGUAAAAAUUACAGUAUUACAUUAAAAAUUAUUAAAAAAAAAAUCGUGUAUAACAUAAAGUUGCCAAUUUGAAUUGAGUUAAAAUAUAAUUAUAUUUUACCUACUAGUUGUACUCGCGACGUCAUUUACGUGACUAGAAGAUAUUGAUUUACUGGGAUAAAAACAUUUCUCCAAUGUAAGCCAAUAAGUAUAAAAUACUACAAUUAACACAUCUAAAAGUAACAAAAAAACAGAGUCCCAUUUAAAAUAUUAGUAUUUAUCAAUAAUGAAAUUGCAGCAUUCUUAUUGGAUUUAUAUAUGAGCACAUAGACAAACAAAGCAGACAUCUUAUAUUACAAGUAUGCCUGAAUGAAUUUUAUGCAUCAGUUAUUUUAAUGUGAAGGGCCAAACCUUCGCCAGUGAACUGUAAUUAAUAUUACAGCACACCUUAAAAAAGAGAAGACAUCUAUUAUUUAUACUGCUACAUAAUAAGCAUACCUACAAAAUUAGACCAACUAAAGUAUUAAACAUAAUUUGAUUGGAUUUGUCCAAAAAAAGAUAAUGAAAAAUACUAUAUGAGAAAAUACUAUAUCACACUGAGUACAUAUUUAAGUCCAGUAAACUUCCUAAUCCUACUUAAUUGCAACAACUAAUUAAUUACUAGUAUAUUAUAAUAAUUAUAUAGUUACUGUGUUGUGUUUAUUUGCCUCUAAGAGAAAAAAAAAUAGUGAUUUGAAUAAAUAAAACAUUAAUAACAAGUCUAAACAAUAUAUUUAUAAGAGACAUAUUUUUGCUUUUACUAAAAUCACUUAGAUUUUUUUUUAUAUUAGCAUUUUAUUAAGGAUUUUCAAAAUUAAAUAUCAAUAUAUACUACUAGUUUAUACUUGCAUAUAUAAUAUUAUAUUAAAGUAAAACUAUGCAAUUAUUUAUGAAAUCUUUAAUUGAUGUGGAACACAUGUUUGCCUUAUCAAAAAGUAAAUAAACUGUAAACUUGUAUUAUCAACAAAAUAUUUUAUUUUUGUACAGCUUGAAUGAAAGUAGUAAAAGUA
Galleria mellonella (greater wax moth) is the source of this 5106-nucleotide long non-coding RNA. RefSeq lists it as uncharacterized. The record is from RefSeq and is a predicted model, not a curated record. The transcript has 2 exons. Lineage: Eukaryota; Metazoa; Arthropoda; Insecta; Lepidoptera; Pyralidae.